This 251-nucleotide long non-coding RNA is filed under the name Homo sapiens (human). RNAcentral describes it as "HSALNT0096571". The record is from RNAcentral. Lineage: Eukaryota; Metazoa; Chordata; Mammalia; Primates; Hominidae.
GUGAUUUUGGAGGUUGCAUUGUGCCUGCCCAUACCUACCACUGUGGCCACAAAGGUUUGUCGAGCUCUGUCUAGACUCUUCCUUGGUACUCUGGCCCUGCACUGAUUCGAUAAAGAGUGACCAGGAUGAUAUUACUCAUUGAGCCCUUGCUGCAGAUGAUGAGUGAAGGUACAGAAAAGUUAGAUGACUUGCCCAGGGUCCUUUGGCUGGAAGCUAGCAGAUCUGAGACUUGAGCCAGGCCUCAUCUCUCC